This 242-nucleotide ribosomal RNA is filed under the name uncultured bacterium. Its description in RNAcentral is "partial 16S ribosomal RNA". It matches the Rfam family "Bacterial small subunit ribosomal RNA", at positions 1250 to 1500 of the family's 1533-position model. The record is from RNAcentral.
CCACGCGGCGACGCAGAGCGGAACCCGAAAACCUGUCUCAGUUCGGAUUGGAGUCUGCAACCCGACUCCAUGAAGCUGGAUUCGCUAGUAAUCGCGCAUCAGCCACGGCGCGGUGAAUACGUUCCCGGGCCUUGUACACACCGCCCGUCAAGCCAUGGAAGCCGGGAGUGCCUGAAGUGCGUGAGCGCAAGCAGCGCCCUAAGGUAAAACCGGUGACUGGGGCUAAGUCGUAACAAGGUACC